This 182-nucleotide ribosomal RNA is filed under the name Symbiodinium sp. clade B. RNAcentral's name for it is "partial 23S ribosomal RNA". Lineage: Eukaryota; Dinophyceae; Suessiales; Symbiodiniaceae. The record is from RNAcentral.
UCAGUACAAAUAAUAUGCUGCUGACACUAAAGGACAAAAAGACCCUUUGAAGCUUUAUAGGGAUAAAACUCAGCUUUAAAUCAACAAACAAUGAAAUCCAUCUUGUUGCUUCUCCGCUUUUAAAAUUGCUAAAGCCUUACAAGAUUUACAACAUCAAGACCACUGUUUAAUUGGGGCGAUAA